Molecule: long non-coding RNA, 1902 nt
Organism: Varroa destructor (honeybee mite)
Lineage: Eukaryota; Metazoa; Arthropoda; Arachnida; Mesostigmata; Varroidae
Source: RefSeq, a predicted model, not a curated record
AUUACUUUUACGCUUACGAGACAUACAUAUUAACAACUCGCAUUAUUCGAAAACGUCGUCUGGGCUACCGUAUUUAUUACUACUGGGUAAAUCAAUCAGCCCAGGAUUUUCGACGACAAGUUUGCCACUUCGAUAGAUGACGGAGCUAAUUACAACCGUGAUACGAUAAGUACCAGUUAAAAAUGUACCUAGCACUAUUCAAAUACGCAUUCACUAGAAAGAUCGCUUUAUGUUACUCGGGGUAUUUUCAGACGUGUUCGCUAACAGCUGGAAGAAUUUAACAGUUUUUUGCGGAUAUACACGCGGGACGGAAUAGGUUGUUAUCGACGUAUAACAUUGUUCGCGGAUAGUUGAUGAUAUCAUAAGCCAGCAGCAGAUAGAUCUCCUCUGCCUUAUUGUAGUUCUUGAAACAUCGUUAUUGUUAGUCUGCAUUUUGAAUGACUGAUUAACGAAAAGCGAUAACGAAUCAAAAUUGAAAUUAGGCGCCAGCGAGCACAAAACGGUUCUAGUCGCUCAUUCAGUGAUCUUCAGACUGACGUAGCGACUUGGUAUAUGCCAAUGCCUAUCCUGUACGGAUAGAGCCUAGUGUUUACGUAAUCGUCCUUACAGCAAAAGUUUUUCGUAGCCACGUCUUGUCGCAGUAAUCGAAAGAGCUAAAUCGUGAAAGCAGUGUAUGGCAGUCUAAUCUAUGGCAGACCAAUCAGCUGCGUUAGCCAAAGUAAUUGACUGAGCAGAAUUGAGAAAUAUGCUUAUUGAUAAGUCGAAAGCGACUGUUAUUCGUUGAACCCCACGCGAUAAUCGGAAAUGCACACGAACUGAGAGGAGAAAGUUAAACGACAGGACAAUGUGUCGUCAACGCCGUGAUUGUUAAACGUUCAGGCGCGCAGUAAACGGCACAUUGUCAGGACAUCAUGGUCUAGAUUUUUUUCCGAUUCCCCUGAAAGGAAAAGUCGGUAUACAAAACUACGCGCACGCGGUAACAGAUCUAAGGGGUAAUUGAAAUUAUUACUGGGCUGCACGAAGCAGCCCCGGCUGGAAGCCGGGCUACAUGCUAAACGUCUCUGAAUGUCACGCAAGGAUAUACUGAACAGCCAUUUACAUACGACCGUUUUCUACUCUAACCGUUUCUCGACGGAAGUAGCGACACAGCAAGAGCUCUUGUUUUCACUUUGCUACGAAUCCAAUGCCAUAUAACUGCUGACAUUUGCCAUCCUCAGAAUAAAACAUCUUCAACCCGCUUGUCGAGCCGUGCAAUAUUUACGCAUAAAGUGACCAGUAUUAUCAACUCCAGUUAGAACACGUGUGGGCAAGUUUGUUGUUUACAGCAACUAAUCUGAUUAUAAAAAACACGCUCUUCCUUGAAGCACACACAGAUCGUGUAACUUCAGAUAUCGUAGCUUGACACCGCCUCUGGCUCCAAAUAACAAAAAAAAGCGGAAAGAAGUGCUUUACCUAGAGCUCAGUAAUAGCUCACAAUUAUCCAAAAUCCGUUGGCGCGGUAAUAUUGGUAGUGAGCUACUUGGAAAGAUCAUAGUUAUUUGAGCCUAUAUAUCUUCUUCGCAGUAAAAUUGUCACCCCACGCGCUACAAAUUCUCUGGGUUGCCUACACUGCUUUUUGAUAUCGACAAAAGAUAGGCGUCCCAUAUUGACUAGUUUUUCGCUUGGCAUAGCCACAGAGCACAACACGGGAGUGUAACUCUGGGUAAGUGAUUUCGUCGGAGAUGGCCGAAUCACUUGACAGGCGAGAUUCAAAAAAAAAGUAGGAGCCAGACUCUAUUAUAUUUGUUUGUUUAAUCUAAGUUUAGGUUAAAUUUUAACGAAUGGGUAAUUUCACGGGUAAUUUUGAAUUGACGAAUUCAAUGCUUUUGAAAUAUGCGACAGUCUGGUAUGUUAAAACAAUUC